ACGCGCAACCUACCCGCACUACCGACUCGCCGAAACCCGGCCCGGCCCGGCCGGUUUUGGACUGGAACCAUUUACCAGCGGGGCCCGCGCCUCCUCCACGUCCCGAGCGCCCCAAACACGUCGAAACGUCCGCGUGGCGCCCCCCCACUGGCCGGCGCCCCAGGCCGGCGCCCGCCAUUGGGCGGCCGGGCGCCAGCGUGGCACCCGCGCGUCAGCCUCCGGGCCCCUAUUAAGCAGCGCCUCGGCGAAACCGAUAGGGGAGGGAAGGGGUUCCGAUCGGAUCGGGGUAAAGGCUUCCACGAGCUCUCGUCUCGACUGCCGCCGCCCGCCCGAGAUGGCGAUCCGCCGUGGGUCCUCCUGCGCCGUCCUCGCCCUGCUCGCGCUCGCCUCCGUCGCCGCCGUCAGCGCCGACGUCUUCUUCCAGGAGAAGUUCGAAGAUGGUUGGGAAAGCCGGUGGGUCAAGUCUGAGUGGAAGAAGGACGAGAACAUGGCUGGUGAAUGGAACCACACAUCUGGAAAAUGGCAUGGAGAUGCCGAGGACAAAGGUAUCCAAACCUCAGAGGACUACAGGUUCUACGCCAUCUCGGCGGAGUACCCUGAGUUCAGCAACAAGGACAAGACACUCGUGCUGCAGUUCACGGUGAAGCAUGAGCAGAAGCUUGACUGUGGUGGUGGUUACGUCAAGUUGCUUGGAGGUGAUGUUGACCAGAAGAAAUUCGGUGGUGACACACCCUACAGCAUUAUGUUUGGACCAGAUAUCUGUGGGUACAGCACCAAGAAGGUUCACACUAUCCUCACCAAGGAUGGAAAGAACCAUCUGAUCAAGAAGGACGUGCCUUGCGAGACUGAUCAGCUGUCGCAUGUGUACACUUUGAUCAUCCGCCCUGAUGCCACAUACAGCAUUCUCAUUGACAACGAAGAGAAGCAAACUGGAAGCAUCUACGAGCACUGGGAUAUUCUUCCUCCCAAGGAAAUCAAGGACCCAGAAGCUAAGAAGCCAGAGGACUGGGAUGACAAGGAGUACAUUCCCGAUCCUGAGGACGUCAAGCCAGAGGGCUACGAUGACAUUCCCAAGGAAGUCACCGAUCCUGAUGCUAAGAAGCCUGAGGAUUGGGAUGAUGAGGAAGAUGGUGAAUGGACUGCCCCAACCAUCCCCAACCCAGAGUACAAGGGCCCAUGGAAGCAAAAGAAAAUCAAGAACCCUAACUACCAGGGCAAAUGGAAGGCACCUAUGAUUGCCAACCCAGACUUCAAGGAUGAUCCUUACAUCUAUGCUUUCGACAGCCUGAAGUACAUUGGAAUUGAGCUGUGGCAGGUUAAGUCAGGAACUUUGUUUGACAACAUUCUCAUCACUGACGAUGCUGCUUUGGCUAAGACAUUUGCUGAAGAGACCUGGGCCAAGCAUAAGGAAGCUGAGAAGGCUGCUUUCGACGCUGCUGAAAAGAAGAAGGAAGAGGAGGUAAAUUCCCUGGCCGUAUUAAUGUUUGCCUAGUUAAUUGCUGCAUGGGUAUCAGCUUCAGUAUGAUUAGCUUUGUUAUGGUACCCUGUUUAUCAAUCUGUGUGUUAGUGUACUUGUCAUUUUUCGAUCUCUCCCUCUUUCAUGGCUGCUUUAUUUCAUAAUUUCCUGCCGGUCCUGCGGAAGCUAAAUUAAAUCUGAACAGAUGUAGGUCCUGUCACUACCUUAGUCGUAUAUGUCUAAUUGAUAUCAUCAAUUUCUGGUAUAUGUCUGUUGUGUAAUGCCUGUCAAUACCAGCACGUCUUCUCUUGGUUAAUGGAAUUCUUUCUCCUAAAUUGUUGUUAUUACUACUAUUAGACUUGUUGUACUGUUCGUUGUGAGUGAGCCUGUUAUUGAUUAUCAAUGUUACCUGUUUUUUCCCAGGAUGCUUCCAAGGCUGGUGAGGACGAUGAUGACUUG
Aegilops tauschii subsp. strangulata is the source of this 1915-nucleotide non-coding RNA. NCBI's taxonomy places the organism in Eukaryota, Viridiplantae, Streptophyta, Magnoliopsida, Poales, Poaceae. The record is from RefSeq and is a predicted model, not a curated record.